CCCUUAGAUAUUCUGGGCCGCACGCGCGCUACACUGAUGCAUUCAACGAGCCUAUCCUUGACCGACAGGUCCGGGUAAUCUUUGAAUCUGCAUCGUGACGGGGAUAGAUUAUUGCAAUUAUUAAUCUUCAACGAGGAAUGCCUAGUAGGCGCAAGUCAUCAGCUUGCGUCGAUUACGUCCCUGCCCUUUGUACACACCGCCCGUCGCUCCUACCGAUUGGGUGUGCUGGUGAAAUGUUCGGAUCGGCCGUUUGUCGCGGUUUCCGCGGCUCGUGGCUGAGAAGUUCAUUAAACCCUCCCACCUAGAGGAAGGAGAAGUCGUAACA
This 325-nucleotide ribosomal RNA is filed under the name uncultured eukaryote. Its description in RNAcentral is "partial 18S ribosomal RNA". It matches the Rfam family "Eukaryotic small subunit ribosomal RNA", at positions 1470 to 1796 of the family's 1831-position model. The record is from RNAcentral.